GCGCACGUUUCGUCGAUUUUCGUACGCCGGCAAUACAAAGGGCGAAUAUGCGUACACGGCCGACAACACACUCCACUCCGGUUGUCCGUAAGCGACGGCUGCCUACAGACAUGAACUCUAUCUGCACACACGCGUGUUUUCCCUUUUAACUUUCCCCUCUGAAACCGUGGCACGUCCGUCAACGGCCUAUCAGCUUUUUCGUGCUCGUGCACACGUUACAGUUUACGAGAGCUACACGCAUACCGUAGAACAUUCGAAAUUCCGGCCGCGGCCGCACCGGAUAUUUUCGAUUUUUGGAUUGCGAGUGACGCGAACAAUAACGGACCCGCGAGCGUUAUUGGUUUUGCUGCGUGACGUACGUUUCCUCCGGCCGUCCGCGCCGAUUAUCGACGAUAUCGAAUUUCGAUCCGAGAAUGAAUUUUCGUUUUUCACCGUGUAUUGCGCGUGCAGCGGAACAACUGUUUAAGUUAUAAUACACACAUUAUACAGUUUUUUA
Non-coding RNA from Cinara cedri, 496 nucleotides. NCBI's taxonomy places the organism in Eukaryota, Metazoa, Arthropoda, Insecta, Hemiptera, Aphididae. The record is from the annotation of a GenBank genome assembly.